AACGCUAGCUACAGGCUUAACACAUGCAAGUCGAGGGGCAUCAGGAAGAAAGCUUGCUUUCUUUGCUGGCGACCGGCGCACGGGUGAGUAACACGUAUCCAACCUGCCCUUUACUCGGGGAUAGCCUUUCGAAAGAAAGAUUAAUACCCGAUAGCAUAAUGAUUCCGCAUGGUUUCAUUAUUAAAGGAUUCCGGUAAAGGAUGGGGAUGCGUUCCAUUAGGUUGUUGGUGAGGUAACGGCCCACCAAGCCUUCGAUGGAUAGGGGUUCUGAGAGGAAGGUCCCCCACAUUGGAACUGAGACACGGUCCAAACUCCUACGGGAGGCAGCAGUGAGGAAUAUUGGUCAAUGGGCGCUAGCCUGAACCAGCCAAGUAGCGUGAAGGAUGAAGGCUCUAUGGGUCGUAAACUUCUUUUAUAUAAGAAUAAAGUGCAGUAUGUAUACUGUUUUGUAUGUAUUAUAUGAAUAAGGAUCGGCUAACUCCGUGCCAGCAGCCGCGGUAAUACGGAGGAUCCGAGCGUUAUCCGGAUUUAUUGGGUUUAAAGGGAGCGUAGGUGGACUGGUAAGUCAGUUGUGAAAGUUUGCGGCUCAACCGUAAAAUUGCAGUUGAUACUGUCAGUCUUGAGUACAGUAGAGGUGGGCGGAAUUCGUGGUGUAGCGGUGAAAUGCUUAGAUAUCACGAAAAACUCCGAUUGCGAAGGCAGCUCACUGGACUGCAACUGACACUGAUGCUCGAAAGUGUGGGUAUCAAACAGGAUUAGAUACCCUGGUAGUCCACACAGUAAACGAUGAAUACUCGCUGUUUGCGAUAUACAGUAAGCGGCCAAGCGAAAGCAUUAAGUAUUCCACCUGGGGAGUACGCCGGCAACGGUGAAACUCAAAGGAAUUGACGGGGGCCCGCACAAGCGGAGGAACAUGUGGUUUAAUUCGAUGAUACGCGAGGAACCUUACCCGGGCUUAAAUUGCAGUGGAAUGAUGUGGAAACAUGUCAGUGAGCAAUCACCGCUGUGAAGGUGCUGCAUGGUUGUCGUCAGCUCGUGCCGUGAGGUGUCGGCUUAAGUGCCAUAACGAGCGCAACCCUUAUCUUUAGUUACUAACAGGUUAUGCUGAGGACUCUAGAGAGACUGCCGUCGUAAGAUGUGAGGAAGGUGGGGAUGACGUCAAAUCAGCACGGCCCUUACGUCCGGGGCUACACACGUGUUACAAUGGGGGGUACAGAAGGCAGCUAGCGGGUGACCGUAUGCUAAUCCCAAAAUCCUCUCUCAGUUCGGAUCGAAGUCUGCAACCCGACUUCGUGAAGCUGGAUUCGCUAGUAAUCGCGCAUCAGCCACGGCGCGGUGAAUACGUUCCCGGGCCUUGUACACACCGCCCGUCAAGCCAUGGGAGCCGGGGGUACCUGAAGUACGUAACCGCAAGGAUCGUCCUAGGGUAAAACUGGCGAC
RNAcentral lists this ribosomal RNA (1440 nucleotides) under uncultured organism. Its description in RNAcentral is "16S ribosomal RNA". It matches the Rfam family "Bacterial small subunit ribosomal RNA". The record is from RNAcentral.